GAGUUUUAAAUGAUCACAGGAAGUUACUCGUCCACCUUGGACAGACUGUACGCAUGGGAAAUGAAGCUCUAUGCUGAAGUGAAGAGAAAACCAUUGAAGGUACUGCUGCGUAUUCAGGAGACGUUAUACCCAUUGUGCAGCUUCAGGAUAUGAACAUUGUGCAAUAAACAACGCAGGUUGUUGGAAGCAGACUCGUGAUGGAAAGACAUACUCUGCCUGUGAUGCAAACGACAAAGUUGGAGGAAGAUUUAUAUAGUUC
This is a long non-coding RNA of Papaver somniferum (opium poppy), 259 nucleotides long. RefSeq lists it as uncharacterized. The transcript is spliced from 4 exons. The record is from RefSeq and is a predicted model, not a curated record. NCBI's taxonomy places the organism in Eukaryota, Viridiplantae, Streptophyta, Magnoliopsida, Ranunculales, Papaveraceae.